Molecule: ribosomal RNA, 492 nt
Filed under: uncultured bacterium
Lineage: Bacteria
Description: partial 16S ribosomal RNA
Rfam family: Bacterial small subunit ribosomal RNA
Source: RNAcentral
AGUGAACGCUGGCGGUAGGCCUAACACAUGCAAGUCGAACGGCAGCACAGUAAGAGCUUGCUCUUACGGGUGGCGAGUGGCGGACGGGUGAGGAAUACAUCGGAAUCUACUUUUUCGUGGGGGAUAACGUAGGGAAACUUACGCUAAUACCGCAUACGACCUACGGGUGAAAGCAGGGGAUCUUCGGACCUUGCGCGAUUGAAUGAGCCGAUGUCGGAUUAGCUAGUUGGCGGGGUAAAGGCCCACCAAGGCGACGAUCCGUAGCUGGUCUGAGAGGAUGAUCAGCCACACUGGAACUGAGACACGGUCCAGACUCCUACGGGAGGCAGCAGUGGGGAAUAUUGGACAAAGGGCGCAAGCCUGAUCCAGCUAUACCGCGUGGGUGAAGAAGGCCUUCGGGUUGUAAAGCCCUUUUGUUGGGAAAGAAAAGCAGCAGGUUAAUACCCCGCUGUUCUGACGGUACCCAACGAAUAAGCACCGGCUAACUUCGUG